AUGCCGACCAAUGAUAUUUGGAGCUUCCCCAAUGAAAUAUCCAUGUCAUAUAAUCAUAGAUUAUUCCACGCUUCAAUAAAUGGAGCUUAACAUCCUUCUUAUUCAAAUAUUUAUGAUUUCUCCAUUUGAUGCAAGGACAUAGAAUCUUAUCACCCUCAGUAGAGCAUUCAAAGGCAUAGUUCAAAAACUCUUCAAUUCUUACUUUAUAUUCAUUAAAUAGCCUAUUACGUAUUUGCAUCCAACUCUUAUUAGAUACCAUUACCUAUGUAAAAUAUCAAGCAUUGAUAAAUAUUAGAAAUAAAAUUCUAAGUAUUGAUAAAUAUGAGCAAUUACCAUGCAUGAAUUUAAAUAUAAGUAAAAUUCUAGUAAUUCAAUAAUUUUUACGUAGCACGCAUACUUACUGCUACUAUGUCAAAAAAUUUUCAUAACCAAUACAAAGAGCCAAACUUUGAAUCAAUAUAUAACAGCAAGUAGAAAACACAAAAAACUAUAAUAGAUACUAAUGUUCUUUAAAUACUUCGAUAGGCACUAAUUCGUUAUGUGAAUUUUAGACUUGGGCCAGAUAUUGCUAAGAUACUAAUAGAAUGGCAC
Molecule: long non-coding RNA, 591 nt
Filed under: Elaeis guineensis (African oil palm)
Lineage: Eukaryota; Viridiplantae; Streptophyta; Magnoliopsida; Arecales; Arecaceae
Description: long non-coding RNA (EGUI_LNC065207)
Source: RNAcentral